GAGAUGGAGGAAGGACUGUGCCUGGAGGUGGAGGGGAAGAUGGUCAGUAGGACAAAGGGUGACAUUGAUGACUCGCUUAUUGGUGGAGAUGCCUUCACUGAAGUUUCCCAAAGCGAAGGUACUGGAAGCAGAGUAAUCAUUGGUGUUGAUAUUGUCAUGAACAAUCACUUGCAGGAACUGACUUCACAAAAGAAGCCUACAAGAAGUACAUCAAAGCUGACAUAAAAUCAAAGACAAACUUAAAGAACAGAGACCAGAAACAGUAAAACCUUUUAUAACAGGAGCUGCAGAACAAAUCAAGCACACUCUUUCUAAUCUCAGAAACUACCAGUUCUUCAUUUGAUCUUAGCCAAAAGGUCAAGAAGCAAUAAAAACUACCAGUUCUUUAUUGGUGAAAACAUGAACCCAUAUGGCAUGCUGCCUCUGCUGGACUACCAUGAGGAUGGUGUGACUCCAUAGAUGAUUUUCCAUGGUUUAGAAAUGGAAAAAUGU
This 492-nucleotide long non-coding RNA is filed under the name Homo sapiens (human). Its description in RNAcentral is "non-protein coding lnc-A2M-2:1". Lineage: Eukaryota; Metazoa; Chordata; Mammalia; Primates; Hominidae. The record is from RNAcentral.